Molecule: unclassified non-coding RNA, 247 nt
Filed under: uncultured fungus
Lineage: Eukaryota; Fungi
Description: sequence contains ITS2
Rfam family: 5.8S ribosomal RNA (bases 1-52)
Source: RNAcentral
AACGCACAUUGCGCCCGCCAGUAUUCUGGCGGGCAUGCCUGUUCGAGCGUCAUUUCAACCAUCAAGCCCCGGGCUUGUGUUGGGGACCUGCGGCUGCCGCAGGCCCUGAAAACCAGUGGCGGGCUCGCUAGUCACUCCGAGCGUAGUAGUUUACACCUCGCUCAGGGCGUGCUGCGGGUUCCGGCCGUUAAAAGCCUCUAUACCCAAGGUUGACCUCGGAUCAGGUAGGAAGACCCGCUGAACUUAA